RNAcentral lists this ribosomal RNA (427 nucleotides) under uncultured prokaryote. RNAcentral describes it as "bacterial SSU rRNA". It matches the Rfam family "Bacterial small subunit ribosomal RNA", at positions 355 to 774 of the family's 1533-position model. The record is from RNAcentral.
UAGGGAAUUUUCCUCAAUGCCCGAAAGGGUGAAGGAGCGACGCCGCGUGCAGGAUGAAGGUUUUCGGAUUGUAAACUGCUUUUGUUUGGGAAUAAGGCAGGGAUGUGAAUAAUAUCUCUGUUUGACGGUACCAAACGAAUAAGCUACGGCUAACUCUGUGCCAGCAGCCGCGGUAAUACAGAGGUAGCAAACGUUGUCCGGAUUCACUGGGCGUAAAGGGCUUGUAGGCUGUCUCACAAGUCAGAUGUGAAAUCGUUCAGCUCAACGGAACAAUUGCAUUUGAUACUGUGAGGCUUGAGUGCAGAAGGGGAACAUGGAAUUUCCGGUGUAGCGGUGAAAUGCGUAGAUAUCGGAAAGAACACCUGUGGCGAAGGCGGUGUUCUGGUCUGCAACUGACGCUGAGGAGCGAAAGCCAGGGGAGCAAACG